RNAcentral lists this ribosomal RNA (250 nucleotides) under uncultured bacterium. RNAcentral describes it as "partial 16S ribosomal RNA". It matches the Rfam family "Bacterial small subunit ribosomal RNA", at positions 524 to 773 of the family's 1533-position model. The record is from RNAcentral.
GACGAACCGUGCGAACGUUAUUCGGAUUCACUGGGCUUAAAGGGCGCGUAGGCGGCGAUCCAAGUCUGGGGUGAAAGCCUUCGGCUUAACCGGAGAAGUGCCUUGGAUACUGGAUCGCUCGAGGGGGAUAGGGGCAUGCGGAACUUCCGGUGGAGCGGUGAAAUGCGUAGAUAUCGGAAGGAACGCCGGUGGCGAAAGCGGCAUGCUGGGUCCCUUCUGACGCUGAGGCGCGAAAGCCAGGGGAGCAAAC